UAUAGGGUAUUCUCAUUCAAUAUUAAGGAUCGAACCUGGUCAGGCCUUGAUUGGAGCAGCCAUAAGAUACCUGAUAUGUGGAUGAGGAUACCCUAUGGGGA
This 101-nucleotide signal recognition particle RNA is filed under the name Acholeplasma laidlawii PG-8A. Its description in RNAcentral is "RNA SRP; RNA component of signal recognition particle". It matches the Rfam family "Bacterial small signal recognition particle RNA". Rfam says of the family: The signal recognition particle (SRP) is a universally conserved ribonucleoprotein involved in the co-translational targeting of proteins to membranes. Lineage: Bacteria; Bacillati; Mycoplasmatota; Mollicutes; Acholeplasmatales; Acholeplasmataceae. The record is from RNAcentral.